GGGGGUAUAGCUCAGUAGGGAGAGCAAUAGCUUUGCAAGCUAUAGGUCGUGGGUUCGAUUCCCUCUGCCUCCACCA
This 76-nucleotide transfer RNA is filed under the name Minisyncoccota bacterium. RNAcentral's name for it is "tRNA-Ala". It matches the Rfam family "tRNA". From Rfam's summary of the family: Transfer RNA (tRNA) molecules are approximately 80 nucleotides in length. Their secondary structure includes four short double-helical elements and three loops (D, anti-codon, and T loops). Further hydrogen bonds mediate the characteristic L-shaped molecular structure. tRNAs have two regions of fundamental functional importance: the anti-codon, which is responsible for specific mRNA codon recognition, and the 3' end, to which the tRNAs corresponding amino acid is attached (by aminoacyl-tRNA synthetases). tRNAs cope with the degeneracy of the genetic code in two manners: having more than one tRNA (with a specific anti-codon) for a particular amino acid; and 'wobble' base-pairing, i.e. permitting non-standard base-pairing at the 3rd anti-codon position. The record is from RNAcentral. Lineage: Bacteria; Bacillati; Minisyncoccota.